Alligator mississippiensis (American alligator) is the source of this 72-nucleotide regulatory RNA element. It matches the Rfam family "MAT2A 3'UTR stem loop E". NCBI's taxonomy places the organism in Eukaryota, Metazoa, Chordata, Crocodylia, Alligatoridae. The record is from Rfam.
CCAGAAUUCCCUGCUAGUGGCCCCAGGUGUCCUACAGAAAAGCCUGGGGUGGCUCCUAACCAGGGGGUCUGG